AUCUCUUUUCUCAGCCUUCCCGGCUUACCACCUUUUCCCCACCUUCUUCCCUGCUUCCCCUCCUCUCCACCGUCAACAGCGGGCGUCGGUGGCGGCCCCGUGGGUGCGCCUCCACGCCACCCGCAGCACCCAGGAUGAGGAGGUCAAGGUCGACGCCACCAUGUUCGACGGCGCCGCCGUCCCGCCCCCAGACGCGCCCCUCUUCCGCCGCGUCGAGUCGCUCGACCACGUCCCGCGCCUCCACCUCGGCCUCAUCAUCGAGGCCUCUACCGCGACAUGUUGCACCAGCACCAGAAAUCAUGUUCAAGCUGGAGGCUAGGGAGAGGGAGUACGUGAGGAAAUUCUUGCAGGAGAGGGCGGCGGCGGCAGCGGCGGCCGGGCGAGGCGGCGCUCCCACGGGAGAUUCACGACGAGAUCGGCCUAGAGUUCCUCGGCAACGUCACCGGCAAGCCAUACACGCUCCACGCCAACAUCUUCGCCAACGGCGUCGGCAGCCGCGAGCAGCAGUCGUCGCAUCUCCUCCUGGUCGUGGUCCUCAUCGUGCACAUCGUCGCUCGGCUCCCUUGACGACGAUGCCGUCGUUGCGUGCGUCGUCAAGGCGGCGGCGAGCGGGCGAGCGGGCGGCGGCCAUUUUCACUUUUUUUUUGUUUUUUUUCCGUGCGAGCGGUAUAAUAUGACCGCAUCGGGAUAAUCGAUUAUCCCGUGCGGUCCAUUAUCCCAUACGGUUGGGCCGUCCGUACGCGAAAAUAUUGAUUUUUUCAGACAUUUGGGUAUAGACGGGCAAAUCCUCCGCACAGAAAAAUCAUUUUGACCGCAAGGAAAAAUGGUUUUCGCAGUAACGAGAGACCGAAGAAGAUUGUACAAUUAUUAAUUGGGUAAUUUGUAACCAUGCCAUUAUAAUUUUUUAAAGUUUAAGAUA
Long non-coding RNA from Oryza sativa Japonica Group (Japanese rice), 919 nucleotides. RefSeq lists it as uncharacterized. The record is from RefSeq and is a predicted model, not a curated record. Lineage: Eukaryota; Viridiplantae; Streptophyta; Magnoliopsida; Poales; Poaceae.